AACUCUACAGGUCGAACAAUUAGAUAACGAGAAGGUGCAUUUUCUUGACAUGUGUAUUACAAAGAAAACUGAUUUUUUCUCUAUCUCCAUCUACAGAAAACAAGUGCAAGAGAUGAGAAGGGCUAGGAAGGAGGUUGUUGGCAUCAGUGGUUCUCAGCUACCGAGCGAAUCUUCCCAAAUAGCCUUUUUGUCUAAUUCUCCUGCUGAUACCCUUUGUGUUGGCAAAAGAGCCAGAUCUGUGAUGUCUACCCCCCUUGUCAAGGAGGUAACAUAACGCCUGUUAAAAGGACCUAGGAUUUUCAACUCGGAUCAUAUUCGGAAGCUUUGGCUUCUUUUUGGCUGGC
This 344-nucleotide long non-coding RNA is filed under the name Androctonus crassicauda. Lineage: Eukaryota; Metazoa; Arthropoda; Arachnida; Scorpiones; Buthidae. The record is from RNAcentral.